RNAcentral lists this ribosomal RNA (425 nucleotides) under uncultured cyanobacterium. Its description in RNAcentral is "bacterial SSU rRNA". It matches the Rfam family "Bacterial small subunit ribosomal RNA", at positions 414 to 853 of the family's 1533-position model. Lineage: Bacteria; Bacillati; Cyanobacteriota. The record is from RNAcentral.
GCCUGUGGGUUGUAAACCUCUUUUCUCAAGGAAGAAGUUCUGACGGUACUUGAGGAAUAAGCAUCGGCUAACUCUGUGCCAGCAGCCGCGGUAAUACAGAGGAUGCAAGCGUUAUCCGGAAUCACUGGGCAUAAAGCGUCUGUAGGUUGCUUAUCAAGUCUGCUGUUAAAGACCAGGGCCUAACCCUGGGAAAGCAGUGGAAACUAGUAGGCUUGAGUGUGGUAGAGGUAGAGGGAAUUCCUGGUGUAGCGGUGAAAUGCGUAGAUAUUAGGAAGAACACCAACGGCGAAAGCACUCUACUGGGCCAUAACUGACACUGAGAGACGACAGCUAGGGGAGCAAAUGGGAUUAGAUACCCCAGUAGUCCUAGCCGUAAACGAUGGAUACUAGGUGUUGCACGUAUUAACCCGUGCAGUAUCGUAGCU